This 2421-nucleotide long non-coding RNA is filed under the name Triticum aestivum (bread wheat). RNAcentral describes it as "long non-coding RNA (TAES_LNC004959)". The stretch from base 1551 to 1665 matches the Rfam family "MIR1120/MIR1122 microRNA precursor family". The record is from RNAcentral. Lineage: Eukaryota; Viridiplantae; Streptophyta; Magnoliopsida; Poales; Poaceae.
UGAACGUCGUCAUGGUGAAGCUCGAGGCCAUGAUGAUGGAUGGAGCAUUGUCGCCGUCAAGUAAGUUAGUUUGUCUUGUUCUUUUCUGAAUUGUGAACGCUUUCGUAGGAAAAUGAGAUCGGAGUCGUAGUAUCUCUUAAGAAAUCAUCCAUCUCGGUACUGGUAUUGAUUGUAUAGGUCGGGAAACGAAAAAUUCACCUGUUGUACCACCAUUGUUAUGCUCGUCACUUAUGCCAUGCAUAGAUGGAUCAUAUAUACCUUUAUUUCGUGUUAUCAACUAACAGAUUUAUGAUAAAAUCUGGACAAUAAUGAAUUUGAUAGCAAUGAAAUGAAAUGAAUCUGUGUGUGUUUGGCGGCUCGGGUCGCGGUUUAUGGGUGUAGUGGAAUAGGGAGGGGUGGGGAGUGGAAGGCAGCUGGGAGCCAAUGUACGCACGGCUUGUUAAAAAUUUUUGCCCGGUGACUGGGAUCUAUUUUUCGAGGCCAUGGUUGACCGUUUCAUUCUCUAGAGAAGAUAGAUUGCUUUUCUGCUGAUUCUUUUGAUUUUGUUGGUUCAUAUGUUUAGAUAGAUGGUGCGUUCUUGCUGUUGCUAUCGACCACUGGAGCUGCUUGCUUUUCUUUUUAGCUUUUUGUUUUGUUUGACACUUGAUAUGGUCUUAGGCUCCGCUUCUUGAGAUGGAACGUUGCUGUUUUGUUCAAUUGUGAGAUUACAAGUUGGUGCACCCUAGGCCUACACAAAGACAUAUGCCAGUUUGAGUGCCAAAAGUGCUGCUCUGAUAUUCAACUAUGUUUUGAAGUUACGAAUUGCUUCUCUUUGUGUGCCGUGAUGUUGCAUAUAACGAAUUCAUGAUGUCCUUGUUAGAUUCUAGAGUAGUUUGCUAACAUUGGCCACAAGAGUAAUUUUCACAGUUUUUUAGGGGAGAUCCUCACUGUUUUAAGAAUGGCUAUUUCUGCAGAUAAUUUACUUGCAUUUUGUAUAGCUUGACUGCUUCUUAGCUGGCAGCGGCAUCUCAACUAGAUAGAUACUGCCCUUCCUUUAUGCCUAUGUCAUGUGAUUCCUCUUGUUUGUGUUUGUCGCCAGGAUUCAGGCCUAUACAUGCACCCUCUUGCUGGCCUUCGACGUGGUGCCUCGGCCUCCCAUAGAAGACCGGAAGUUUACAACAGCAGCAUCUCCGACCCCUUCCCGACGAGCUGCAUGUCGUAGACAAGGUCCCAGCGGAGGUAUGUCCUCCUCUCCUUCCUUCCCUUUCUUGCAAGUGCUUGUGUGAAAAGCAAUUUUGAUCAAAAAUAAAUCUGCUUAUGUAACGGGCUACCACUUCACAUUGAUUUCAAUGUGGCUUGUUUGUCGUAUCUUUAGUGUUUAGCAGUUCACUACUGGAGUGCAAUCUAUGCUUUAUUUUGUCAGUACAAGGGCCUCAGUUUUCUCCCGUGAAAGGGAUGCUUGUUGUUCACUGUCUCGUUUGUCUCUGGCUACGGAAGGCCUCAUUUCUAGUAUGUUUUAGUUUUACAAAGGGCCUUGUUCUAGCAUUAUUGGUAAACAGACUUGUCCUUAUCAAGUACUCCCUCCGUUCGGAAUUACUUGUCGCAGAAAUGGAUGUAUCUAUAUGUAUUUUAGUUCUAGAUACAUCCAUAUCCAAGACAAAUAAUUCCGAACGGAGGGAGUAAGUUACUUGGCAUGUUAUGUUCCUGUGAGCUUCUCUUUUGCUGCUGUAGUUGGGUGUUGUGCUGCAUGCACUCCAGCUAGAAGAGCUAGACUGGAUUAAUCAAUCAGCCCCCAACUAAAUCUCCACAGUGAAAGGAUGAUUGAUGUAUGCUGCCACUACCAACGUAGUAUAUACAUGUCUUGCCUGAAUAUAUAGGAAAAUUUACUUACUGAUUUAAGGAAGGAGCUAAACUAAACUCAACUGGUACGUACAGGUUGUGGUCUGGUUGUGCGACUGUCAUCUAGUAAAAUGUAGCUUGCUGGGUAAUAUGACAUCUGCUGCUGAUGUUGUCCUGUCGAUGCUAUAAUAUCAUAUAUGUUGCAAACCGGUAGGUACUAAUGUUUACCGGACCGGACUGGUGUGCAGGUGCCUGUGCAAUGAUGCGUCGAAAGCUUUGUUGGCGUCGCCCAGUUGCUGUUGGGCUCUUGUUAUCUUGUGGUGCGACCGAAUAAGGACGGACCGACGGAGGUCGUGGUGGUGAAGCCCGAGGACAUGAUGGAUGGAACCGUUUGUUGCUGUUCGUCGAGAUUAGUUGUUUCAAGAAUUGUUGUGCUGUGUUGGUAGGAUGGAUGCAUUGGAGUAGAUAGGUAGGUAGGUAGGUACUUGGAUAUCAUCCAUCCUGGUAGUGGUAUUGAUGGAUGGUAUAGGAUGAGGCAAAGCACUCGGGUUGUUGUAUUUCUACUCGCAAACACUAUGUGAUAUAUAGUUCCAUUGUUUCGAU